Molecule: ribosomal RNA, 253 nt
Filed under: uncultured bacterium
Lineage: Bacteria
Description: partial 16S ribosomal RNA
Rfam family: Bacterial small subunit ribosomal RNA
Source: RNAcentral
GACAGAGGGGGCAAGCGUUGCUCGGAAUCACUGGGCGUAAAGGGCGCGUAGGCGGGAUGGCAAGUCGGUCGUGAAAUCCUUCGGCUCAACCGAAGAACGUCGGCCGAUACUGCCGUUCUUGAGGGAUGCAGAGGAGAUUGGAAUUCCGCGUGUAGCAGUGAAAUGCGUAGAGAUGCGGAGGAACACCGAUGGCGAAGGCAGCCCCCUGGGUCGACACUGACGCUCAGGCACGAAAGCGUGGGGAGCAAACAGG